UACGGGGGGGGUAAGCGUUGUUCGGAAUUACUGGGCGUAAAGCGUGCGCAGGCGGUCUUGCAAGACAGAUGUGAAAUCCCCGGGCUCAACCCGUGGGAACUGCAUUUGUGACUGCAAGGCUGGAGUACGGUAGAGGGGGAUGGAAUUCCGCGUGUAGGCAGUGAAAUGCGUAGAUAUGCGGAGGAACACCGAUGGCGAAGGCAAUCCCCUGGACCUGUACUGACGCUCAUGCACGAAAGCGUGGGGAGCAAACAGG
This 256-nucleotide ribosomal RNA is filed under the name uncultured bacterium. RNAcentral's name for it is "partial 16S ribosomal RNA". It matches the Rfam family "Bacterial small subunit ribosomal RNA", at positions 524 to 776 of the family's 1533-position model. The record is from RNAcentral.